UCAAGGACAUUGAAAUACUGGACUAGAUCAUCAAAGGAAUGGAUUCUUCCCUUGAGAGCUGUGAGACUGUGAGGGGGUCCCCUCUGUCUGCAAGCAACAUUCUUCUCCAGGUGAUCCAUGGAAGCCUCACCACUUCAGCAAGAUAGGCCAAAUCUGCCUGAUACUUUCUUCAAAGCCAAGGGUGGUUACCCUGCCAGGGCACGGGCCAGAGACUUGACUUUCUCCAGGAGUAGUCUCCUCCAGUGACUAUCAGAGUUGAUGGAUGAGUUCUUGAGCUCCUUUAUGCCUCAGAAGAAGCUGCUGAGGUCACCUUUCCUGGAUUGGGCUGACAGCUAAGUGGAGAGCACUGAAGGCAGAGGCCCACUUGCUGAGUUCUGCUCAUGUGGGGCAACAAAAAUCAGAAGACACCAGAAGGAGCAGCCAUCGUGUUGAAAGUCAUUUGUUAUUUACUUUGGGGGAGUCUCCAGAAAAUAUUUUGGAUUUGGAGUAUUUGUUUUUUCAUCAGAUUCAUCCUUAGCAACUGCUAAAAGCAUCCAACAGAUGACAAGAGAAUAAAAAAAAAUCACUUAAGCUGCAACGGUGGCAAUACCAAUGCUGCAGAUAAAAUCCAAGUCCCAAAGAAGCUACAAAGAAAGAGAACAGCCUAGCUGAGAGCCACCCAAGGAAGAAGUGAAGCUAUCACAACAUACGCCACAGAUGUACAGAAAUAGAAGCACUGGGGAGGAGAAGCCCAUUCGAGAGGGCGAUGUAGGAGGGUCCCCGGCCCACAUCCUCCCAUGGACAAACCCAGCCUGCAGCUACACAUGGAACAAAUUCUUCUGGAAAAAAACCCCAAAAAAACAAAAAAACCAAAACCUUAAAAAUUAUCUGAGCAACGCCUGUGCAUCUGGUGAGCAAGAGAAGUCCUACUUCUAAGCAGGUAGGAGAAGCUGGGACACAGUCGUGCCAUAAGCCCUGUCCCCAGUGCAGUGACCCACAAUUGGGAGUGCACUCCAAACCCCGAGCUUCCUCCUGAGGAGGAGAGCUUUGAACCCCACAUCGGGCACCUACCUUUUAAGACCUGAGAGACAAGCCCUUAAACAUUGAGCUUUGAAAAUACCGCGGCUCAUGUUCAUAGGACCCGCAAGGCUGUGACGCUCUGAGAAACAGCUCGUAGAGGGUUUGAGCACUUGUGUGAGGCUCAUUUGCUGAUUUUAAAGCCUUGGUCUGAGGGGCAGGCAUCUAAUUCAUCACACAUCUAGGGGCCUGCUGGCUGGUGGGUACCAUCUUAACACUCUUGCUCUGCCUCCCUCUGGCCAGCAGGUGCUAUCUUUUUUCUCUUUCUUUUAUCUUUUAUUUCCUGCAUGCACCAUCUAUAUGCUCCCCUUGUGUCUCAUUCUGGCUGGCAGGUGCCUUCUCCUCCUCUUCCUCCUCCUUCUCCCCUUCCUCCUUUUCUCUUUCUCCUUUUCCUUCUUCUCCUCCCCCCCCCCCUUUUCCCUAGCAGUCACCAUUUAUAUGUUCUCCCUCUGCCUCACUCCAGAGCAUCAGUGUUUCCUGGAGGGGAGCCUUUACACAUGACUGGUGCUCCUGGUUUUGUAGCUAUGACCCAGGGGACACCCCUUAAUCACCUGGCUCUGGAGGCCAGGGGUGCUUAUGUUCCUGAGUCCCCUAGGACUGUACCAAUCAGAGAGACAGUUCUUGGCAGGCUACUACUCCUGAGGCACUGCACAGACAGCAGACGGAGACACACUCCAGUCUUUCUGUCAAGAAGGCCUGCUUGCUUGUGCUUGUCCUGGAGCUUUGGUCUGAGGGGCAGCCUCCUGGUUUGGCACACAACUGGAGGCCAACCGAGGUGCUCUGAAGGAAUGGAGGCUGAUGAACGUCAUCCUCGCACUCUCCCUCUGCCCAGUUACCACUCACCGUAUCUCCCCAAAACAAGUUUAUAUGCUUAUCGGGUAGCUGAUUUUUACAGCUUGCCACCAGGGGACAUCUGUACAUUGCCUGACUCUGGUGGCCAGUGGGGCUUACACUUGCAGCCCCACAGGACUGUAUAUAUUUGCAUACGUUAAAAGCUGCUGCCUGACUGUCGGUUUCUAAUCAGCUAGAUGGAAAUUAUGAUGGAAAAGAUAAAAGAUGGGGGGGUAAAUCCAGGAAACUGAACAUAUGGGUAGUAGGUAUUCAGAAGGGGAAAAUAGAACAGAUGGAGGAGACACUGUCAAAUUCUAGGGGAACAUUUUUCAAGGCUGAGCUGUCUGAAGCCUGCAGAUUUAAAGCACUCACAGGGUUCCAGGCUGAACUGUUAAGAAAAGAUAACUAAUUAUUUUCUGGUAAAAUUCUUAAACUUUAAUGGAUAAAGAAAAACUUUUUACAAUCUUCCAGGAAGAAAGAUUAAAUUAUCUACUAAGAAAAAAGAAUCAUAACGCCGUUAGACUACCCAUCUAUAAACAAAGAAAACUAAAAGACAAUUGAAUAAUGUCAGAGAAAAAGAAUAAUACAUUGAGAAUGCUAUAUCCAGCCAAUAUCAUUCACCUGAAUAAAGACAUUCAAGGAUAGGUGACAAAACAGUCAUCCAGCUAACCCCUCUGAGAAAAAUACUUGAGAUAGUCUAACUGAGAUAUAAAUGAACUCAAAUUAAGAACUCAAGCUGGAGGAAAGAUGAAGAGCACAGGAAUAAAUGAUGAGCAAUGAGCCUUGCCAUAUGAACAGACGCACUCAUUCCGUCAACAGGUAUCUAUUGUGUGCCUAAUACAUGCCAAUAUAGUUGUUGACAAUGGGGAUACUGCAGUGAACAAGAUAAAUAAGAAUUAAAUUUUAAUGGAUGAAUAUAAUCUAUCUGAGAACAAAUAACAUAAUGUUCAAGUAAGGAUGGCUGAAACACAGUAAUACGUUGUGAUGGAUUUUAAAAUAAAUACUAAAAUAUCCCCACAAAGCCCAAGAGAAGGGGGUGGAGAAGAAUGAAUGCAUUAUGAAAUCCUCAUGGGGG
This is a long non-coding RNA of Ailuropoda melanoleuca (giant panda), 2962 nucleotides long. RefSeq lists it as uncharacterized. NCBI's taxonomy places the organism in Eukaryota, Metazoa, Chordata, Mammalia, Carnivora, Ursidae. The record is from RefSeq and is a predicted model, not a curated record. The transcript has 4 exons.